UAGGGAAUCUUCCGCAAUGGACGCAAGUCUGACGGAGCAACGCCGCGUGAGUGAAGAAGGAUCUCGGUUCGUAAAACUCUGUUGUUAGAGAAGAACAGCGCAUAGAGUAACUGUUAUGCGUGUGACGGUAUCUAACCAGAAAGCCACGGCUAACUACGUGCCAGCAGCCGCGGUAAUACGUAGGUGGCAAGCGUUGUCCGGAUUUAUUGGGCGUAAAGCGAGCGCAGGCGGUCAAUUAAGUCUGAUGUGAAAGCCCCCGGCUCAACCGGGGAGGGUCAUUGGCAACUGGUUGACUGGAGUGCAGAAGAGGAGAGUGGAAUUCCAUGUGUGGCGGUGAAAUGCGAAGAUAUAUGGAGGAACGCCAGUGGCGAAGGCGACUCUUUGGUCUGUAACUGACGCUGAGGUUCGAAAGCGUGGGUAGCAAACAGG
RNAcentral lists this ribosomal RNA (429 nucleotides) under Bacteroidota bacterium. RNAcentral describes it as "Bacteroidetes bacterium partial 16S ribosomal RNA". It matches the Rfam family "Bacterial small subunit ribosomal RNA", at positions 355 to 776 of the family's 1533-position model. The record is from RNAcentral. Lineage: Bacteria; Pseudomonadati; Bacteroidota.